GGGUUGUGAGGUUAAGCGACUAAGCGUACACGGUGGAUGCCCUGGCAGUCAGAGGCGAUGAAGGGCGUGCUAAUCUGCGAUAAGCGCCGGUAAGGUGAUAUGAACCGUUAUAACCGGCGAUACCCGAAUGGGGAAACCCAGUGUGAUUCGUCACACUAUCAUUAACUGAAUCCAUAGGUUAAUGAGGCGAACCGGGGGAACUGAAACAUCUAAGUACCCCGAGGAAAAGAAAUCAACCGAGAUUCCCCCAGUAGCGGCGAGCGAACGGGGAGGAGCCCAGAGCCUGAAUCAGCAUGUGUGUUAGUGGAAGCGUCUGGAAAGGUGCGCGAUACAGGGUGACAGCCCCGUACACAAAAGCGCAUGUGCUGUGAGCUCGAUGAGUAGGGCGGGACACGUGGUAUCCUGUCUGAAUAUGGGGGGACCAUCCUCCAAGGCUAAAUACUCCUGACUGACCGAUAGUGAACCAGUACCGUGAGGGAAAGGCGAAAAGAACCCCGGCGAGGGGAGUGAAAAAGAACCUGAAACCGUGUACGUACAAGCAGUGGGAGCACCCUUCGGGGUGUGACUGCGUACCUUUUGUAUAAUGGGUCAGCGACUUAUAUUCUGUAGCAAGGUUAACCGUAUAGGGGAGCCGGAGGGAAACCGAGUCUUAAUUGGGCGUUAAGUUGCAGGGUAUAGACCCGAAACCCGGUGAUCUAGCCAUGGGCAGGUUGAAGGUUGGGUAACACUAACUGGAGGACCGAACCGACUAAUGUUGAAAAAUUAGCGGAUGACCUGUGGCUGGGGGUGAAAGGCCAAUCAAACCGGGAGAUAGCUGGUUCUCCCCGAAAGCUAUUUAGGUAGCGCCUCGUGAAUUCAUCUCCGGGGGUAGAGCACUGUUUCGGCUAGGGGGCCAUCCCGGCUUACCAACCCGAUGCAAACUGCGAAUACCGGAGAAUGUUAUCACGGGAGACACACGGCGGGUGCUAACGUCCGUCGUGAAGAGGGAAACAACCCAGACCGCCAGCUAAGGUCCCAAAGUCAUGGUUAAGUGGGAAACGAUGUGGGAAGGCCCAGACAGCCAGGAUGUUGGCUUAGAAGCAGCCAUCAUUUAAAGAAAGCGUAAUAGCUCACUGGUCGAGUCGGCCUGCGCGGAAGAUGUAACGGGGCUAAACCAUGCACCGAAGCUGCGGCAGCGAACGUAUCACCCAAGACAACUUUACGGAGUUGACGAUUGACGGAGCGAAGCGACGUCAAAGCGUUCAUUAAAGUCGAGUUGGCUUAGGGAUACGUUCGUUGGGUAGGGGAGCGUUCUGUAAGCCUGUGAAGGUGUGUCGUGAGGCAUGCUGGAGGUAUCAGAAGUGCGAAUGCUGACAUAAGUAACGAUAAAGCGGGUGAAAAGCCCGCUCGCCGGAAGACCAAGGGUUCCUGUCCAACGUUAAUCGGGGCAGGGUGAGUCGACCCCUAAGGCGAGGCCGAAAGGCGUAGUCGAUGGGAAACGGGUUAAUAUUCCCGUACUUGGUGUUACUGCGAAGGGGGGACGGAGAAGGCUAUGUUGGCCGGGCGACGGUUGUCCCGGUUUAAGCGUGUAGGUGUGUGUUCCAGGUAAAUCCGGUUCACUUUAACACUGAGGCGUGACGACGAGGCACUACGGUGCUGAAGCAACAAAUGCCCUGCUUCCAGGAAAAGCCUCUAAGCAUCAGGUAACACGAAAUCGUACCCCAAACCGACACAGGUGGUCAGGUAGAGAAUACCAAGGCGCUUGAGAGAACUCGGGUGAAGGAACUAGGCAAAAUGGUGCCGUAACUUCGGGAGAAGGCACGCUGACACGUAGGUGAAGUGAUUUACUCAUGGAGCUGAAGUCAGUCGAAGAUACCAGCUGGCUGCAACUGUUUAUUAAAAACACAGCACUGUGCAAACACGAAAGUGGACGUAUACGGUGUGACGCCUGCCCGGUGCCGGAAGGUUAAUUGAUGGGGUCAGCGCAAGCGAAGCUCCUGAUCGAAGCCCCGGUAAACGGCGGCCGUAACUAUAACGGUCCUAAGGUAGCGAAAUUCCUUGUCGGGUAAGUUCCGACCUGCACGAAUGGCGUAAUGAUGGCCAGGCUGUCUCCACCCGAGACUCAGUGAAAUUGAACUCGCUGUGAAGAUGCAGUGUACCCGCGGCAAGACGGAAAGACCCCGUGAACCUUUACUAUAGCUUGACACUGAACAUUGAGCCUUGAUGUGUAGGAUAGGUGGGAGGCUUUGAAGUGUGGACGCCAGUCUGCAUGGAGCCGACCUUGAAAUACCACCCUUUAAUGUUUGAUGUUCUAACGUGGACCCGUAAUCCGGGUUGCGGACAGUGUCUGGUGGGUAGUUUGACUGGGGCGGUCUCCUCCUAAAGAGUAACGGAGGAGCACGAAGGUUGGCUAAUCCUGGUCGGACAUCAGGAGGUUAGUGCAAUGGCAUAAGCCAGCUUGACUGCGAGCGUGACGGCGCGAGCAGGUGCGAAAGCAGGUCAUAGUGAUCCGGUGGUUCUGAAUGGAAGGGCCAUCGCUCAACGGAUAAAAGGUACUCCGGGGAUAACAGGCUGAUACCGCCCAAGAGUUCAUAUCGACGGCGGUGUUUGGCACCUCGAUGUCGGCUCAUCACAUCCUGGGGCUGAAGUAGGUCCCAAGGGUAUGGCUGUUCGCCAUUUAAAGUGGUACGCGAGCUGGGUUUAGAACGUCGUGAGACAGUUCGGUCCCUAUCUGCCGUGGGCGCUGGAGAACUGAGGGGGGCUGCUCCUAGUACGAGAGGACCGGAGUGGACGCAUCACUGGUGUUCGGGUUGUCAUGCCAAUGGCACUGCCCGGUAGCUAAAUGCGGAAGAGAUAAGUGCUGAAAGCAUCUAAGCACGAAACUUGCCCCGA
This 2871-nucleotide ribosomal RNA is filed under the name Salmonella enterica subsp. enterica serovar Typhimurium. RNAcentral's name for it is "partial 23S ribosomal RNA". It matches the Rfam family "Bacterial large subunit ribosomal RNA". Lineage: Bacteria; Pseudomonadati; Pseudomonadota; Gammaproteobacteria; Enterobacterales; Enterobacteriaceae. The record is from RNAcentral.